AUUCCAGCUCCAAUAGCGUAUAUUAAAGUUGUUGUGGUUAAAAAGCUCGUAGUUGGAUCUCGGCGGUCUGAGGGCGGUUCGCUUCAGAGCGCUACUGCCCUAUAGACCGUAGUUUUGCCAGAGGUCUCAGGGUGCUCUUAACCGAGUGUCUUGCGAUGCUGGCAGGUUUACUUUGAAAAAAUUAGAGUGCUCAAAGCAGGCUUUUACGCCUGAAUAUUCGUGCAUGGAAUAAUAGAAUAGGAAGUCGUUUCUAUUUUGUUGGUUUUCGGAAAUCGACUUAAUGAUCAAUAGGGACAGUCAGGGGCACUCGUAUUCCGCCGAGAGAGGUGAAAUUCUCAGACCAGCGGAAGACGAACCACUGCGAAAGCAUUUGCCAGGGAUGUUUUCAUUA
Molecule: ribosomal RNA, 391 nt
Filed under: Pseudocalanus sp.
Lineage: Eukaryota; Metazoa; Arthropoda; Copepoda; Calanoida; Clausocalanidae
Description: partial small subunit ribosomal RNA
Rfam family: Eukaryotic small subunit ribosomal RNA
Source: RNAcentral